RNAcentral lists this ribosomal RNA (910 nucleotides) under uncultured bacterium. RNAcentral describes it as "bacterial SSU rRNA". It matches the Rfam family "Bacterial small subunit ribosomal RNA", at positions 33 to 924 of the family's 1533-position model. The record is from RNAcentral.
ACGCUGGCGGCGUGCCUAAUACAUGCAAGUCGAGCGAAGUUUUUCUGGUGCUUGCACUAGAAAAACUUAGCGGCGAACGGGUGAGUAACACGUAAAGAACCUGCCUCAUAGACUGGGACAACUAUUGGAAACGAUAGCUAAUACCGGAUAACAGUAUUUCUCGCAUGAGAGAUAUUUAAAAGUUGGUUAUGCUAACACUAUGAGAUGGCUUUGCGGUGCAUUAGCUAGUUGGUGGGGUAAAGGCCCACCAAGGCGACGAUGCAUAGCCGACCUGAGAGGGUGAUCGGCCACACUGGGACUGAGACACGGCCCAGACUCCUACGGGAGGCAGCAGUAGGGAAUCUUCCGCAAUGGGCGAAAGCCUGACGGAGCAACGCCGCGUGAGUGAAGAAGGAUUUCGGUUCGUAAAGCUCUGUUGUUAGGGAAGAAUGGAUAUGUAGUAACUAUACAUGUAAGAGACGGUACCUAACCAGAAAGCCACGGCUAACUACGUGCCAGCAGCCGCGGUAAUACGUAGGUGGCAAGCGUUGUCCGGAAUUAUUGGGCGUAAAGCGCGCGCAGGUGGUUUAAUAAGUCUGAUGUGAAAGCCCACGGCUCAACCGUGGAGGGUCAUUGGAAACUGUUAAACUUGAGUGCAGGAGAGAAAAGUGGAAUUCCUAGUGUAGCGGUGAAAUGCGUAGAGAUUAGGAGGAACACCAGUGGCGAAGGCGGCUUUUUGGCCUGUAACUGACACUGAGGCGCGAAAGCGUGGGGAGCAAACAGGAUUAGAUACCCUGGUAGUCCACGCCGUAAACGAUGAGUGCUAAGUGUUGGUCUCAUAAGAGAUCAGUGCUGCAGCUAACGCAUUAAGCACUCCGCCUGGGGAGUACGACCGCAAGGUUGAAACUCAAAGGAAUUGACGGGGACCCGC